GACGAACGCUGGCGGCGUGCUUAACACAUGCAAGUCGAACGGAAAGGCCCUGCUUUUGUGGGGUGCUCGCGUGGCGAACGGGUGAGUAACACGUGAGUAACCUGCCCUUGACUUUGGGAUAACUUCAGGAAACUGGGGCUAAUACCGGAUAGGAGCUCCUGCUGCAUGGUGGGGGUUGGAAAGUUUCGGCGGUUGGGGAUGGACUCGCGGCUUAUCAGCUUGUUGGUGGGGUAGUGGCUUACCAAGGCUUUGACGGGUAGCCGGCCUGAGAGGGUGACCGGCCACAUUGGGACUGAGAGACGGCGCAGACUCCUACAGGAGGCAGCAGUGGGGAAUAUUGCACAAUGGGCGGAAGCCUGAUGCAGCAACGCCGCGUGCGGGAUGACGGCCUUCGGGUGGUAAACCGCUGUCGCCUGUGACGAAGCGUGAGUGACGGUAAUGAGUAAAGAAGCACCGGCUAACUACGUG
Molecule: ribosomal RNA, 468 nt
Filed under: uncultured bacterium
Lineage: Bacteria
Description: partial 16S ribosomal RNA
Rfam family: Bacterial small subunit ribosomal RNA
Source: RNAcentral